Molecule: long non-coding RNA, 258 nt
Filed under: Lathyrus oleraceus (garden pea)
Lineage: Eukaryota; Viridiplantae; Streptophyta; Magnoliopsida; Fabales; Fabaceae
Description: Pisum sativum (pea) long non-coding RNA (PSAT_LNC007276)
Source: RNAcentral
UGUUUGCGUGAUUUGUUUGACAGUUGUUGAAAAUCAAAUCAGAUUUAAAUGGAGAUUAAAUUUAAAUUUGAAUUAAUAACAAAUCAUAUCUUUUGUUACAGAUAUUUAUGUAGCAGAUCAAAUCCAACAACAUUCUGCUACUAUUCUUGGCGAAAUCAAAUGUUAAAUCCAAGGGAGAAAAGCCCAAAAGACAUUGCUAUUUAAGGAGACCCAAACUCACUUUUGAGCCAUGCAAUUUUUGAAGAUACCUAGUGUUAG